GAUGAAGAACGUAGCAAAAUGCGAUAAGUAAUGUGAAUUGCAGAAUUCAGUGAAUCAUCGAAUCUUUGAACGCACAUUGCGCCCGCUGGUAUUCCGGCGGGCAUGCCUGUUCGAGCGUCAUUUCAACCCUCAAGCCCCCGGGUUUGGUGUUGGGGAUCGGCUCUGCCCUUCUGGGCGGUGCCACCCCCGAAAUACAUUGGCGGUCUCGCUACAGCCUCCAUUGCGUAGUAGCUAACACCUCGCAACUGGAACGCGGCGCGGCCAUGCCGUAAAACCCCAACUUCUGAAUGUUGACCUCGGAUCAGGUAGGAAUACCCGCUGAACUUAAGCAUAUCAAUAAGCGGAGGA
This 348-nucleotide unclassified non-coding RNA is filed under the name soil metagenome. RNAcentral describes it as "partial contains 5.8S ribosomal RNA, internal transcribed spacer 2, and large subunit ribosomal RNA". The stretch from base 1 to 120 matches the Rfam family "5.8S ribosomal RNA", at positions 35 to 154 of the family's 154-position model. The record is from RNAcentral.